GCUGCGGCUGGAUCACCUGCAAGUCGAGGGUUACAGGAGCUUGCUCCGCUGACGACCGGCGCACGGGUGCGCACCGCGUAUGGAACCUGCCUUCUACAGGGGAAUAGCCCAGGGAAACUUGGAUUAAUGCCCCGUGGUACCGUUGAUUGGCAUCAACUAACGGUUAAAGCCUUCGGGCGGUAGAAGAUGGCCAUGCGUCCCAUUAGCUGGUUGGUAAGGUAACGGCUUACCAAGGCUACGAUGGGUAGGGGCCCUGAGAGGGGGAUCCCCCACACUGGUACUGAGACACGGACCAGACUCCUACGGGAGGCAGCAGUGAGGAAUAUUGGACAAUGGAGGAGACUCUGAUCCAGCCAUGCCGCGUGCAGGAAGAAUGCCCUAUGGGUAGUAAACUGCUUUUAUACGGGAAGAAAAAGAGCUACGUGUAGCUUACUGACGGUACCGUAAGAAUAAGGACCGGCUAACUCCGUGCCAGCAGCCGCGGUAAUAC
Molecule: ribosomal RNA, 490 nt
Filed under: marine sediment bacterium ISA-3241
Lineage: Bacteria
Description: bacterial SSU rRNA
Rfam family: Bacterial small subunit ribosomal RNA
Source: RNAcentral